GGCGGUCGGCCGGCGCGUGAGCGUCCGUGCCGCCGCCGGAACCUUUUUUCUUUUAGAAAAAUGAUAAGGUUCUUGCUUUCCUUUUAGUAGAUCGAGUAAUAAUUCCGGGAGAUGGAGGCUAUCUCAGAUCCGUCGCCGCCGGCCUUUUGUCUCCGUGGCGGGGAAGCUCCUUCAGUUCCGCCGUCAUCGGCUCUGGUUUCCGGGGGGUGAAGGCUUCCAAAGCUUUGCGUCGCCGGCUUUAGGUCCCUAGUCUCUUAGGGUUUUGUUUUAUUUCGGGUUUGUUCAUGGUUCGGGUGUUUUGUGGGUUCGUCGGAGGAGGGAGAAGUUCUCAGGCGGAAAGGGUGUCGAUGCAUGUGUUAUUUUAUUGGAGGUCGGCGGUUAUCGGUGGUGGAUGAGAUCUCGCCUCGGCGAUUGACUCUCUCCAGUUUUAGAGACCCAAGAUGGUUUGAGUAGAAGAUGGGCGGAGCUUUUGAGGUCCGGCGUGGUCGGACGAUCGGUUGUUUGGAUCGCCGGCGGUAAAGAGAAACGGUGGUGACUCGGAGUCUUCGCAACACGUGUACCCCUCGACGGCGAGGAUGGCAACACGUGGCCAAGUAUCAGUAAGGCUGAUAUGUGAGGCGGCCGUUGUCUUUCGCGUUUAGUGUCUAGGGUUUUCCUCAAGUUGGGCCCGGAAGUUUUGGCCCAAUUGAGAAAUGUGUGUUACCCGUUUGAUGUAUCUGGGCUUUUGUAUCUUAUUUUCUUGUACUGGGCUUGGCCCGUUUUUAAUUUUAAAAAACAUUUCGAUGGAAAAAAA
Molecule: long non-coding RNA, 793 nt
Filed under: Brassica rapa (field mustard)
Lineage: Eukaryota; Viridiplantae; Streptophyta; Magnoliopsida; Brassicales; Brassicaceae
Description: long non-coding RNA (BRAP_LNC000848)
Source: RNAcentral